RNAcentral lists this long non-coding RNA (328 nucleotides) under Mytilus galloprovincialis (Mediterranean mussel). The record is from RNAcentral. Lineage: Eukaryota; Metazoa; Mollusca; Bivalvia; Mytilida; Mytilidae.
AAAACCUUAAAUGCAAACGGAGGACACAGAGUAUUUAAAAAAAAAAACGAAAGCGAGAAUUUCAGACAUCGUGGAUAUUAAAUUGCCCCUGGCUAUCUAUGGAAAUUUGGAAUUUAAAUUAAGUUUUUGUCUUAUUUAUAGAUGAAAGGUCAACAUUAUUUGUUGUCAAACUGGUAAAUAGAAGGGAAGCUUUAAUUGCACAUCAAGACAAUAAUAAAUAAUCAAGAAAAAAACCAAGUGUGUCAGUUGAGAGAAACACCACAAAAUCAAUAGUUUAUCUAUUAUUUAGUUUACAUUUCUUCAAUCACUGUCCUCAAAUUUAGUAUAU